GAUGUUUAAAGAAGCAAAAAAAGGCUGAGAAUAGCCAAAGAUUUUAAGGUGCCCUCUGUAUGAUUUAAAAGAUGGGUAUUUCUUCAACUUUCCCUUGGACAAUUUCAUGUCCAAGGGUUUGGUGAGCAGGGCAGGGCCGAGCGGCAUCUGGGCAGAGUGAGGACGGGAAGAUAAGUGAUGAAUGACUUCCACCUGCGUGCCACACCGGCCUCGCGUUCCAGCGAGUGGAGGCAGGAGUAUUUAAGGAGAGGAGACAGCGGCAGACCGGAGAGAGAUGUGGUGUACAAGUCGACAAAAGUGAAGUGAAGAGCUUGAGAUGAAUUACGAGACAAGUGAUGUUUGAAGAAAACAGAAAAAUCAAGGAUUUUUAACCAGGGGCGGACUGGCCAUCGGGAGAACCGGGACUUUUCCCUGUGGGCCGGCUGCAAAACUGGGCAGUGAUAUGCCAAAGUGGGCGGCGAUAUGAUGAAGGGGGCCGCUAUAAGCUGAAGGUGGCCGCGAAACAGUGCCGCGAUAUGGCGAAGGGUGCCGCGAUAUGCACAAGAUGACAGUGAAACACAUUUCCACAACCUUCAACCUCAUCCCACCCCACCCGCUCGACAACUUCACAUCGCAAACCCCCUACCCCCCACUCUACAAAUUUUCUCCAGGGCCAAUUUUUGUUCCCAGUCCCAGCAACAAGUGCCUAAGGGAUGAGGUGUCACACAAAUGCCAGGUCCGCAUUUGGGUAUUUUUCUUGCUCAAAGUUAACAAGCAAGAUCAUAUUAAACAGAAUACAUAUUAGUAAACACAUUUAAAGAGAGAAAGAAAGAGAGAAGGAGACAAUCAUGGACUCACAUUUGGCCCUGAGGGAGUGUCAGGUUGAGAUUGCUGAGGACUUUAAGUUUGCCAUAUGAACGACACACAUCACGACAAUGGAUUGCAGCACCGCAACUCCCUGCCUCCAAGUCAGCCUUCAU
Long non-coding RNA from Myxocyprinus asiaticus (Chinese sucker), 959 nucleotides. RefSeq lists it as uncharacterized. The record is from RefSeq and is a predicted model, not a curated record. NCBI's taxonomy places the organism in Eukaryota, Metazoa, Chordata, Actinopteri, Cypriniformes, Catostomidae. The transcript is spliced from 3 exons.